AGUGAACGCUGGCGGUAGGCCUAACACAUGCAAGUCGAACGGCAGCACAGUAAGAGCUUGCUCUUACGGGUGGCGAGUGGCGGACGGGUGAGGAAUACAUCGGAAUCUACUUUGUCGUGGGGGAUAACGUAUGGAAACUUACGCUAAUACCGCAUACGACCAACGGGUGAAAGCAGGGGAUCUUCGGACCUUGCGCGAUUGAAUGAGCCGAUGUCGGAUUAGCUAGUUGGCGGGGUAAAGGCCCACCAAGGCGACGAUCCGUAGCUGGUCUGAGAGGAUGAUCAGCCACACUGGAACUGAGACACGGUCCAGACUCCUACGGGAGGCAGCAGUGGGGAAUAUUGGACAAUGGGCGCAAGCCUGAUCCAGCCAUACCGCGUGGGUGAAGAAGGCCUUCGGGUUGUAAAGCCCUUUUGUUGGGAAAGAAAAGCAGCAGGUUAAUACCUCGGUGUUCUGACGGUACCCAAAGAAUAAGCACCGGCUAACUUCGUG
Molecule: ribosomal RNA, 492 nt
Filed under: uncultured bacterium
Lineage: Bacteria
Description: partial 16S ribosomal RNA
Rfam family: Bacterial small subunit ribosomal RNA
Source: RNAcentral